GGGCACAGAGUAAAGCUCCUUUAUUUAUCCGGGCUCCCGGGUGCGUCGCCGCAGGGAAACUGAGGCACGGCCGCCAUGGCGCUGGGGACAACGGGGACCCGCAGCGGCAGCAGCCACCCCCCGAGGGUGGCACUGGGGACAAUGGGGACCCCCAGCUCGCCAUGGCCACCGCCCCCCGAGGGUGGCAUCGGCGACAACGGGGACCCCCAGCGCCCCGUGGCGCUGUCACUCGCUGUCCCCAGCCCGCCGGGUUCUUGUGGCACCUGCACGGCCCGGCCUGGCAGCUCCCUGAGCAGGACAGUGCCACUCGCCACAGUCCCCGCUGUCCUGUCCCUGCUGUUCCCACUGUCCUGUCCCCUGUCCCAUGUCUCGUGUCCCGCUGUCCCACCGUACUGUCCCAUGUCCCCUCUGUCCCUGCUAUCCCCACUGUCCUGUCCCUGCUGUCCCCUCUGUCCCACUGUCCUGUCCCCUGUGUCCUGCUGUCCCCGCUGUCCUGUCCUCAUUGUCCUGUCCCCUCUGUCCCCUGUUCUGUCCCCCUGUCCGGUCCCGUGUCCCGUCCCUGUCCCGUCCCUGCACUGUCCGUGCCCCGUCCGUGUCCGGUCCCGUCCCUGUCCGGUCCUUGUCCUGUCCCUGUUCCGUCCCUAUUUGGCCCCCUGUCCGGUCUCUGUCCUGUCCCGUGUCCCGUCUCUGUCCCGUGUCCGGUCCCUGUCCCUGCUGUCCGGUCCCGGUCCCUGUCCCUGCUGUCCGGUCCCGUGUCCGCUCCCGUGUCCGGUCCCGGUCCCGGUCCCGUGUCCGGUCCCGGUCCCGUGUGCGGUCCCGUGUCCGGUCCCGUGUCCGGUCCCUGUCCCUGCUGUCCGGUCCCUGUCCCCGCUGUCCGCUCCCGUGUCCGGUCCCGUGUCCGGUCCCGGUCCCGUGUCCGGUCCCGUGCGGCUCAGCCCACGGUGACGCUGAAGCCGCAGUGGAACCGGUUCCUGCGGUGGUUCAGGAAGGCGCCCAGGGCCAGCGUCACGGGCAGGGGGGGCAGCUUCUUCUCCAGGACCCCUCCCACGCUCCAGCUGCUGUCCAGGAGCCCUGCGGGGACAGCGGGGACCCCUGAGCCGCCGCCGCCGGGCGCGGGGGACAGAGGCCACCGGGGCGGGGCCGGCCCACCUCGGAACACGGCGUUGGCCCGCGGCAGGUUGAGCCGGUAGCCGAAGGCGAACGCGGUCUCCUGCAGGCGCGUGUUGGCCUCCAGCUCCACCCCCGCCUGCACCUGCGGGGACGCGGCGGUCACGGCGGCGUGGGGACCGCGGGGACAGAGAGGGGACAACGGGGACAGCGGGGGGAGAGCGUGGGGACAGUGUGGGGAGAGCGGGGACAGAGAGGGGACAACGGGGGGAGAGCGUGGGGACAGUGUGGGGACAGCGGGGACAGAGAGGGGAGAGCGUGGGGACAGUGAGGACAGCG
This 1446-nucleotide long non-coding RNA is filed under the name Chloebia gouldiae (Gouldian finch). Its description in RNAcentral is "Erythrura gouldiae (Gouldian finch) lncRNA (ENSEGOG00005017647.1)". Lineage: Eukaryota; Metazoa; Chordata; Aves; Passeriformes; Passeridae. The record is from RNAcentral.